UGUCCAUUUGCCUAUGCAAUUGAGGUAUGGCAUAUGUGUUGGAUCCUUGUUGCUCCCCUUUGUUUUUCUGAUUUUGAUUGUUCUCAUUUUGAUUUGAUUCUGUUGUCCUCACGGGCUUCUAGUUAUCUCUAUGAUAUAUUUGAUAUGGUUUCCAUGCAAAUUUUGUCGAAACUCUAGUUUUCAGGGUCUAUGUACUUACCAAUGUAAUUACUGUGAAGUGCAGUCAGG
Molecule: unclassified non-coding RNA, 228 nt
Filed under: Hevea brasiliensis (rubber tree)
Lineage: Eukaryota; Viridiplantae; Streptophyta; Magnoliopsida; Malpighiales; Euphorbiaceae
Source: RNAcentral